RNAcentral lists this ribosomal RNA (1091 nucleotides) under Salmonella enterica subsp. enterica serovar Enteritidis. RNAcentral's name for it is "bacterial SSU rRNA". It matches the Rfam family "Bacterial small subunit ribosomal RNA", at positions 22 to 1102 of the family's 1533-position model. The record is from RNAcentral. Lineage: Bacteria; Pseudomonadati; Pseudomonadota; Gammaproteobacteria; Enterobacterales; Enterobacteriaceae.
GCUCAGAUUGAACGCUGGCGGCAGGCCUAACACAUGCAAGUCGAACGGUAACAGGAAGCAGCUUGCUGCUUUGCUGACGAGUGGCGGACGGGUGAGUAAUGUCUGGGAAACUGCCUGAUGGAGGGGGAUAACUACUGGAAACGGUGGCUAAUACCGCAUAACGUCGCAAGACCAAAGAGGGGGACCUUCGGGCCUCUUGCCAUCAGAUGUGCCCAGAUGGGAUUAGCUUGUUGGUGAGGUAACGGCUCACCAAGGCGACGAUCCCUAGCUGGUCUGAGAGGAUGACCAGCCACACUGGAACUGAGACACGGUCCAGACUCCUACGGGAGGCAGCAGUGGGGAAUAUUGCACAAUGGGCGCAAGCCUGAUGCAGCCAUGCCGCGUGUAUGAAGAAGGCCUUCGGGUUGUAAAGUACUUUCAGCGGGGAGGAAGGUGUUGUGGUUAAUAACCGCAGCAAUUGACGUUACCCGCAGAAGAAGCACCGGCUAACUCCGUGCCAGCAGCCGCGGUAAUACGGAGGGUGCAAGCGUUAAUCGGAAUUACUGGGCGUAAAGCGCACGCAGGCGGUCUGUCAAGUCGGAUGUGAAAUCCCCGGGCUCAACCUGGGAACUGCAUUCGAAACUGGCAGGCUUGAGUCUUGUAGAGGGGGGUAGAAUUCCAGGUGUAGCGGUGAAAUGCGUAGAGAUCUGGAGGAAUACCGGUGGCGAAGGCGGCCCCCUGGACAAAGACUGACGCUCAGGUGCGAAAGCGUGGGGAGCAAACAGGAUUAGAUACCCUGGUAGUCCACGCCGUAAACGAUGUCUACUUGGAGGUUGUGCCCUUGAGGCGUGGCUUCCGGAGCUAACGCGUUAAGUAGACCGCCUGGGGAGUACGGCCGCAAGGUUAAAACUCAAAUGAAUUGACGGGGGCCCGCACAAGCGGUGGAGCAUGUGGUUUAAUUCGAUGCAACGCGAAGAACCUUACCUGGUCUUGACAUCCACAGAAGAAUCCAGAGAUGGAUUUGUGCCUUCGGGAACUGUGAGACAGGUGCUGCAUGGCUGUCGUCAGCUCGUGUUGUGAAAUGUUGGGUUAAGUCCCGCAACGAGCGCAAC